Molecule: ribosomal RNA, 253 nt
Filed under: uncultured bacterium
Lineage: Bacteria
Description: partial 16S ribosomal RNA
Rfam family: Bacterial small subunit ribosomal RNA
Source: RNAcentral
UACGGGGGGGGCAAGCGUUGUUCGGAAUUACUGGGCGUAAAGGGCUCGUAGGUGGCCAACUAAGUCAUACGUGAAAUCCCUCGGCUUAACCGGGGAACUGCGUCUGAUACUGGAUGGCUUGAGGUUGGGAGAGGGAUGCGGAAUUCCAGGUGUAGCGGUGAAAUGCGUAGAUAUCAGGAGGAACACCGGUGGCGAAGGCGGUUCUCUGGGCAUUACCUGACGCUGAGGAGCGAAAGUGUGGGGAGCGAACAGG